CACAAAGAAAGGAAAGUUCACUUGAAGUAGCAAUCAAUGCAUCAAGGUAAGAGAACGAAAAGUUGGCUUGGAAUCCUAGGAAAGCAGCCGUCACUCGGCUUUGACCCACACCCGUCUGCUCUAGCAUCCUACGGCAGGGGCAUAUGCUGACUAGAAAGGGAACAGAGACAGGGAAGCCGAGCCGGUCUCCACCCUCUGCUAGCUGGAUUUAGCCACUUGCUUUAGCUCCUGGUUUCAUUUUUCUCAGUUACACAACAGAACUGAACCAGAUGACCCUUAGAAACUCUCAGUUAGGAUUCCAUAAUUGCUGUUAUCAUUUUUCUGCCUGUAUCAGGUGUUAAGACUGUAACUAUACAAAUGAAAUUUCCAGGAAAAUAAAUUAAUCUUGACCUUAAAUAUA
This 400-nucleotide long non-coding RNA is filed under the name Mus pahari (shrew mouse). Its description in RNAcentral is "lncRNA (MGP_PahariEiJ_G0003896.1)". The record is from RNAcentral. Lineage: Eukaryota; Metazoa; Chordata; Mammalia; Rodentia; Muridae.